CAGACUUUUCCCAUCAUCUGCUUCCUUCUCUGAGACCAUGGCAAGAUUUGAUUCAUGAAAGAAGGCUCAGUGGCUUAUAUGGCAGAAAAGAGCAGAGAACUGGAAGAAAAUCUAAAUGACCACGAGUACCAGGACCACAUAAAUGAAAGAUGAAGUACGUGUAAUGGAAAAUGACACAGCAGUGAAAAGAAUGAACUGGAGCGCUCUACAGUAGCAGAGAGAGGUCUAAAUAAAUGGUUAACAAACAAACAAACAAACAAACAAACAAACAAAAAACCAGCAGCAGUAGCAGUUGGCCAUUGGCAUGUUUUUAGCCUUAUGGUUUCUUCUUUUCUAAAAUAUUAUGAGUCAAAUUAUACAAUAUGUGGCUUUUUAAGUCUGGCAUCUUCUACUUAGUUUAACACAUUUUUGCAUCCAUCCAUUCUGAAGGAUCAUACACAGCUUGAGAGAAUGGACAAGGACAAGAUGGAGCUCUUGAAGGUCAUGAGUAUACGUUGGAUCAAAACUGAUAAGGUCAAGAUUUACAAAGAGCUGGGCCCCAGACGUUCCAGAGCUCACAGAGGUGGAGUCAUGGAAUGGUCUGGACAAUGGAGGUUCCGGUCACCUCUGUCUUCUCAAGAGGAGUUUACUGCUCCUCUGCCAGAAUUAGUCAGGUCACCAGGGCCUGGGAGGCUGUAACAAGCAGAGAUGACACAACCUACCUGGCAGGAACAAGGAUAUUCUAAAGAAAGACUUAAAAGUCUCUCCCUUCCAAGAUCAGACGAUUGAAACGUGGGCAUCCUCCUGACCUGGAACUUCUCAGGAGUGCCCUGUGCUGGGAGAAGGAAAAGGAAGAAACCCGUGCCAGCCAGAGGAGGAACUGGUCUCAGGGGAGAGAUUCACAGAGUGCUGAUAACUUGGCAGAGCAUUUUGACCAAGACUGCUUACCUGCUGCAGUUACUCUGUUACUCUGACCCUCUGCUGAGACCCAAGCCUUGUGUCAGGACCCUGAAGAUGGACUGGUGGGGAGUGAUACAGAAGGGUGUGUGUGUGUGUGUGUGUGUGUGUGGUGGCAGGGGGAUCAACAGAUAUCUGAAGUGUAACUCUAAUUAAUCUUAUCAAUAAAAACCAGGAGUCAGAUAUCAGGGUAAAAGAUGAAAUAUCAGAGAAUCGAGGGAGCAGCCACGUCACUUCCUGUCUCUCCGAUCCUCCAACCAAAAGGGUGAGAUCCCGUCUUUGCCCCACUUUAUCACUUCCUGUCUCUGCCCUGAAUUAUUACUUCCUGUCUCCUGUCUGUCCAGCCCUCCCAACCUCUGUGGUUAACUAGUGGCCAGCUCUGCCCUCUGACUCCAAGCAAACUUUAUUUGUCAGAAUACAAACAAAAUAUCACACAACAGGUGUCUUUGCCCCUCUUCCCAAUAUGGCCACAUUGAAUGAAUUGGUUUCUGCUUUUCACCGUCACUCGUUCUAUUGACUUAUUAAGGGUGGUGGUUGCGCUUGGCUUAUCUUGUAAGGUGGUCUGACAAAUUAUGAGGACGGUGUAAAAUUUCUUUCCAGGAGACAGGCCCCUCCUCAGGCUCAUGUUGGGAUUCAUCCGUGCAGGUUAGUUUUAACUGUCAACCCGAGACAAUCUAGAAUCAAGUGAGAAGAGUCUUAAUGGGGAAUUAUCCAGAUCAGGUUGGUCUCUGGGCAUGGUUGUGGGGGAGUGCCUUGCUUAUUAAUUGAGAUGGGAAGACCUGAAUGUGGGCAGCACCAUUUCAUAGGCUAGGCCCUGAUUGCAGAAGAAUAGAGAAAGCUAGCUGAGUAG
This is a non-coding RNA of Peromyscus maniculatus bairdii (prairie deer mouse), 1786 nucleotides long. NCBI's taxonomy places the organism in Eukaryota, Metazoa, Chordata, Mammalia, Rodentia, Cricetidae. The record is from RefSeq and is a predicted model, not a curated record.